This 511-nucleotide ribosomal RNA is filed under the name Curvularia spicifera. RNAcentral describes it as "eukaryotic LSU rRNA". The stretch from base 175 to 328 matches the Rfam family "5.8S ribosomal RNA". Lineage: Eukaryota; Fungi; Ascomycota; Dothideomycetes; Pleosporales; Pleosporaceae. The record is from RNAcentral.
GAGGGAUCAUUACACAAUAAAAUACGAAGGCCGUUCGCGGCUGGACUAUUUAUUACCCUUGUCUUUUGCGCACUUGUUGUUUCCUGGGCGGGUUCGCUCGCCACCAGGACCACAAUAUAAACCUUUUUUAUGCAGUUGCAAUCAGCGUCAGUAUAACAAAUGUAAAUCAUUUACAACUUUCAACAACGGAUCUCUUGGUUCUGGCAUCGAUGAAGAACGCAGCGAAAUGCGAUACGUAGUGUGAAUUGCAGAAUUCAGUGAAUCAUCGAAUCUUUGAACGCACAUUGCGCCCUUUGGUAUUCCAAAGGGCAUGCCUGUUCGAGCGUCAUUUGUACCCUCAAGCUUUGCUUGGUGUUGGGCGUUUUUGUCUUUGGCCCGCCAAAGACUCGCCUUAAAAUGAUUGGCAGCCGGCCUACUGGUUUCGCAGCGCAGCACAUUUUUGCGCUUGCAAUCAGCAAAAGAGGACGGCAAUCCAUCAAGACUCCUUCUCACGUUGACCUCGAUCAGUAGG